Non-coding RNA from Lactuca sativa (garden lettuce), 2119 nucleotides. The record is from RefSeq and is a predicted model, not a curated record. NCBI's taxonomy places the organism in Eukaryota, Viridiplantae, Streptophyta, Magnoliopsida, Asterales, Asteraceae.
AUAUAUAUACAGAUACACGAAGGAAUCCACCAAAAAGACCCAUAACCAUUACAACCAUUUCCAUCUCUCUCUAUCUCUUUCCUCUCUUCCCUAUUCUACACAUCUCAAUCCACUAUCUCUCUCCUCCUGUACCAAGACAACUGAUCAAAAGCUGUGGAAAGGGAUAUCUCUAUACAUAUAUACGGUUAUACGUAUAUAUAUAGGGAGAUAGAAAGAAGAGGGAACCGGUUGUGAAGUUUAAAAAUGGGGGCUGAUGGAUUUGGAGGGAUGAGUUAUUAUGUGGGAAUUUUUCUGGGAUUAAUGUUGAUUCUUAAAUGGGUUUUGAAGAGUGUGAAUAUAUGGAUUUAUGAGAGGAAUUUGGAGAAGAAGAAGAGGAAGUGUCUGCCACCAGGUGAUAUGGGUUGGCCGUUCAUCGGAAACAUGUGGUCGUUCCUCAGAGCUUUCAAGUCUAACGAUCCUGAUGCCUUCAUCUCCAAUUUCCUUCGCAGAUUUGGGUCUAGGGGUUUAUAUAAGUCGUUUAUGUUUGGUAGCCCUAGCAUCAUCGUGACUGUUCCCGAAGCAUGUCGGAAAGUAUUGUUUGAUGAUGAAGCAUUCCAGCCAGGGUGGCCAACUGCCACCCGGGAACUCAUCGGAAAAAAAUCAUUUAUUGGAAUUUCUUACGAAGAUCAUAAAAGGCUUCGUAAGUUGACCGCAGCACCAGUAAAUGGUCACGAAGCCUUGUCUACAUACAUGCAGUACAUUGAGACCAAUGUGGUCUUAGCAUUGGAGAAAUGGUCAAAAAUGGGGCGGAUUGAGUUCCUCACCUACCUGCGAAAGCUAACUUUUCAGAUAAUCAUGCACAUUUUCCUUAGCACUGAGAGCGAACAUGUAAUGGAUGCAUUGGAGAAAGAGUACACGGUGCUUAACUACGGCGUUAGGGCUAUGGCCAUUAAUAUUCCUGGUUUUGCAUAUUAUAAUGCACUUAAGGCGCGGAAGAACCUUGUGGCCAUUUUGCAAACAGUUGUACACGAACGUAGAAAGAAACGAGAGGCAAACGAAGGGAUGUCCAAGAAAGACAUGCUUGAUGCUCUCCUGGACACUACAGACGAGAAAGGAAGAAAACUAGAUGAUGAGGAAAUAAUCGAUACAUUAGUCAUGUACCUAAACGCGGGCCAUGAAUCUUCGGGACACAUCACAAUGUGGUCUACCAUUCUUCUCCAAGCACAUCCAGAAUUUUUCCACAUAGCAAAGGAAGAACAAGAGAGGAUUGUAAAGAAUAUGCCACCAACACAAGAGGGUUUGACCUUGAAAGAGUAUAGGCAAAUGGAGUAUCUCUCGAAGGUGAUUGAUGAAACGCUUCGUUUAGUGACUUUUUCGCUCAUGACGUUCCGUGAAGCUAAAAAAGAUGUCGAUAUCAAAGGUUACUUCAUUCCUAAAGGAUGGAAAGUGUUGCUCUGGUUUAGGAGUGUUCACCAUAAUCCUGAACUUUAUCCCCAACCUAAAGAGUUUAAUCCUUCAAGAUGGGAUGAUCUUGUACCAAAGCCAGGAACUUUUCUUCCAUUUGGAGCAGGAAGUAGGCUUUGCCCUGGAAAUGACCUUGCCAAGCUAGAGAUUGCCAUCUUCCUCCACCAUUUUCUUCUAAAUUAUGAGUUUGAAAGGGAAAAUCCAGAAUGCCCAAUUAUGUAUUUACCUCAUUCAAGGCCUAAAGACAAUUGCGUGGGAAGACUUAGAAGGGUUUCCAAAUGAAAGAGGGUAGAUUUGGAAAUUAAAUAAAGGUUGGUUGAAGUAUUUUUGUCCUAUCAAACACAAAAAUAAUGCAUCAUAAAAUGAUGUAAUAUGGUGGAUGGCUGGAGUUGGCAUUACAGCACCACUAUUUUUCUUAUCAUCAUCAUCUUUAUCAUGCUACAAUCACGACAGGGGAAACAUAUGCAAAAAAGAGAGCAGGAAAGUGUGAGAAGACUUGUAAAACUAUUUUCUUGGUUCACUGCCAAAUCUUGAACUAAAGAGAAUGGGCAUAUUGUACAAACACAAACAACACACACUUAGUCAAAAGGUGUAAAUGUGAAGGAGUAAGAAAUGGCAGUUUCAUCUUUUCCAGUUUCUUAGUUCUCUAUUUUUAGGACUGCAAAAAAACCAACAU